CCUGGUUGAUUCUGCCAGUGGUCAUAUGCUUGUCUAAAAGAUUAAGCCAUGCAUGUCUCAGAUUAACGAAAGUUAACUAGGAAUCUGCGAACGGCUCAUUAAAUCUCCUGUAAUCUAUUUGAUAGUACUCCUUACUAGGAUAACUGAGGAAAAACUUGAGCUAAUACUUGCUAAAAUCCCCGACUUUUUGGAAGGGGUGUAUUUAUUAGAUACAAAAAUCAACUCCGGGUUAACGCCCGGGUCCCUUGAUGAUUCAUAAUAACUUCUCGAAUCGCAUGGCCCUGCGCCGGCGAUGAUUCAUUCGAACGUGAGCCCUAUCAACUUUCGACGGGUGUGUAGUGGACAUCCGUGGUUUUUACGGGUACGGGGAAUUGGGGUUCGAUUCCGGAGAGCUGGCCUGAGAGACGGCCAGCACUUCCAAGGAAGGCAGCAGGCGCGCAAAUUGCCCUAAUCCCAAAUCGGGGAGGCAGUGACAAUAAAUAACUAAGAUCUUCCCUACGGGACGAUCUAUAGGAAUGAGUUAAAUGUAAAUACCUAAACGAGGAGCAACUGGUGGGCAAGUCUGGUGCCAGCAGCCGCGGUAAUUCCAGCACCAGUAGCGUAUGCUAAAGUUGUUGCAGUUAAAAAGCUCGUAGCUGAAGUUUGGGAUUGACGGGCAGGGUCCGCCGGGACGGUGAGUACCAGCCAUUCGUCUUUCCUUCCUUCCGGUUUUUGCUCGCGGGCGGGGCUUCAUUGCUUCGUCCGUGCUAGCUCCGGAUCUUUCACUGUGAAAAAAUUAGAGUGUUCAAAGCAGGCCUAAUUAUGCCUUGAAUAUUUCAGCAUGGGAUGAUGGAACAGGUCUUUGCGCCUAUUUUGUUGGUUUCUAGGAGGCGAAGAAAUGAUUAAUGGGAACAGUUAGGGGAAUUCGUAUUUAACAGUCAGAGGUGAAAUUCUUGGAUUUGUGAAAGACGAACUUCUGCGAAAGCAUUUUCCAGAGAUGCUUCCGUCAGUCAAGAACUAAAGUUGGGGGAUCGAAGAUGAUCAGAUACCGUCGUAGUCUCAACCAUAAACUAUGCCGACCAGGGAUUCGGGGCACGUUAAAACACAUUUAUUGGACGACUCCCCGAGCACCUUGCGAGAAAUCAUUGAGUCUUUGGGUUCUGGGGGGAGUAUGGUCGCAAGGCUGAAACUUAAAGAAAUUGACGGAAGGGCACACCAAGAGUGGAGCCUGCGGCUUAAUUUGACACAACGCGGGGAAUUUUACCAAGUCCGGACAGAAAAAGGAUUGACAGAUUAAAGCUCUUUCUUGAUUUUUUGGGUGGUGGUGCAUGGCCGUUUGUAGUUGGUGGAGUGAUUUGUCUGCUUAAUUGCGUUAACGAACGAGACCUCAGCCUGCUAAAUAGUUAUGCGAACCUUCUGCUUGGGUGAAGGCGCGGCGGGCA
Molecule: ribosomal RNA, 1421 nt
Filed under: metagenome
Description: SSU rRNA
Rfam family: Eukaryotic small subunit ribosomal RNA
Source: RNAcentral